Molecule: long non-coding RNA, 488 nt
Filed under: Homo sapiens (human)
Lineage: Eukaryota; Metazoa; Chordata; Mammalia; Primates; Hominidae
Description: HSALNT0261494
Source: RNAcentral
CUCAGUGCCUGGUGCGGAGAAAACUUUAGGGGAUGUACGCUGAGUGAGCAAAUGGAUGGAUGUUGAGCAAGUCUGUCCAUUUUACAGAAGAGGAAAUGGAAGCACAGAGAAGAAAUGAAAAAUCGAGCUGUCCCAGGGCCUGGGACAUGCAAGGUUAAAAUAUUUGUUGGACGGAUGGAUAGAGGAAUAUAUAGAUAUGGCUGGGCAUGUUGGCUCAUGCCCAUAAUCCCAACACUUUGGGAGGCCAAGGUGGAAGGAUCGUUUGAGUUCAGGAGUUUGAGCCCAGCCCGGGCAACAUGGUGAAACCCUGUCCCUACAAAAAUACAAAAAAUUAGCGAGGCAUGGUGGCACACUUUUGUGGUCCCAGCUACUCAAGAGGCUGAGGUGGGAGGAUCACUUGAGCCUGGGAGGUGGAGGUUUCCGUGAGCCAAGACUACGCCACUGCACUCCAGCCUGGGUGACAGAGUGAGAUUCCACCUUUCAAAAAU